GUGCGGGAGCGAUAGAAACGGCAUCCUUUUUGCGAAACUGUAAAUGCAAAAACCUCUGUUUUUUGAAGCUAUUAAUUUGAAAGGAAAAAACUUUAAGGUGCUUACAGGGCGCCUCGCAAAAAGAUAUAGUGGAUAGCGCGGUUUUUA
RNAcentral lists this small RNA (147 nucleotides) under Hyunsoonleella jejuensis. RNAcentral's name for it is "Flavo-1 RNA". It matches the Rfam family "Flavo-1 RNA". Lineage: Bacteria; Pseudomonadati; Bacteroidota; Flavobacteriia; Flavobacteriales; Flavobacteriaceae. The record is from Rfam by way of RNAcentral.